Molecule: non-coding RNA, 54 nt
Organism: Salmo salar (Atlantic salmon)
Lineage: Eukaryota; Metazoa; Chordata; Actinopteri; Salmoniformes; Salmonidae
Source: Rfam
UAUUUUCCAAUUUGUAAGUCGCUCUGGAUAAGAGCGUCUGCUAAAUGACUUAAA